GCCGUUGUAGCUCAAGCAGAGCGCCGCCCAUUUAAGGCGGGUCACAUUGACGAUACGCGGAGAGUGCCUGCUUCCGGCCUUGUCACCCCGGGAGCACACACUCCGUGGUGCUGGUUCAAGUCCAGCCAUCGGCUA
This 135-nucleotide transfer RNA is filed under the name Caudoviricetes sp. RNAcentral's name for it is "tRNA-OTHER". It matches the Rfam family "tRNA". Rfam says of the family: Transfer RNA (tRNA) molecules are approximately 80 nucleotides in length. Their secondary structure includes four short double-helical elements and three loops (D, anti-codon, and T loops). The record is from RNAcentral. Lineage: Duplodnaviria; Heunggongvirae; Uroviricota; Caudoviricetes.